This 218-nucleotide long non-coding RNA is filed under the name Eucalyptus grandis. Its description in RNAcentral is "long non-coding RNA (EGRA_LNC004374)". The record is from RNAcentral. Lineage: Eukaryota; Viridiplantae; Streptophyta; Magnoliopsida; Myrtales; Myrtaceae.
UCAACCAAAGCCUCCCCGACUUUUUUCUCUUUCAAGUACUUCAGGGCUUCGAGAACCCCUAGGGUUUCAAGCUGCAGCACCGAUUCCGCCCGGACAAGUUUUGUGAAUCCGUCAAUGAGGCUACCGGAGGAGUCCCGGACGACGCAAGCCACGGCUCCUUCCAUCGAUCCCUCGCACAACGACCCAUCUACAUUAAUCUUGAAGGAACCAGCUUUCGG